Molecule: ribosomal RNA, 292 nt
Filed under: uncultured bacterium
Lineage: Bacteria
Description: partial 16S ribosomal RNA
Rfam family: Bacterial small subunit ribosomal RNA
Source: RNAcentral
GUGACAGCCGCCGCGGUAAUACGUAGGGGGCUAGCGUUGUCCGGAAUCAUUGGGCGUAAAGAGCGUGUAGGCGGCCCUGUAAGUCCGCUGUAAAAGUCAAAGGCUCAACCUUUGAAUGUCAGUGGAUACUUCCGGGCUAGAGUCCGGAAGAGGCGAGUGGAAUUCCUGGUGUAGCGGUGGAAUGCGCAGAUAUCAGGAGGAACACCAACGGCGAAGGCAGCUCGCUAGGACGGUACUGACGCUGAGACGCGAAAGCGUGGGGAGCGAACAGGAUUAGAAACCCGCGUAGUCC